CCUACGGGUGGCUGCAGUGGGGAAUAUUGGACAAUGGGGGGAACCCUGAUCCAGCCAUGCCGCGUGUGUGAAGAAGGCCCUCGGGUUGUAAAGCACUUUCAGUGAGGAAGAACGCCUGGUGGUUAAUACCCAUCAGGAAAGACAUCACUCACAGAAGAAGCACCGGCUAACUCCGUGCCAGCAGCCGCGGUAAUACGGAGGGUGCGAGCGUUAAUCGGAAUUACUGGGCGUAAAGCGCGCGUAGGUGGCUUGAUAAGCCGGUUGUGAAAGCCCCGGGCUCGACCUGGGAACGGCAUCCGGAACUGUCAAGCUAGAGUGCAGGAGAGGAAGGUAGAAUUCCCGGUGUAGCUGUGAAAUGCGUAGAGAUCGGGAGGAAUACCAGUGGCGAAGGCGGCCUUCUGGACUGACACUGACACUGAGGUGCGAAAGCGUGGGUAGCAAACAGGAUUAGAUACCCUUGUAGUC
RNAcentral lists this ribosomal RNA (465 nucleotides) under Vreelandella stevensii. RNAcentral's name for it is "partial 16S ribosomal RNA". It matches the Rfam family "Bacterial small subunit ribosomal RNA", at positions 338 to 795 of the family's 1533-position model. The record is from RNAcentral. Lineage: Bacteria; Pseudomonadati; Pseudomonadota; Gammaproteobacteria; Oceanospirillales; Halomonadaceae.